Molecule: transfer RNA, 73 nt
Filed under: Ignavibacteria bacterium
Lineage: Bacteria; Pseudomonadati; Ignavibacteriota; Ignavibacteria
Description: tRNA-Ala
Rfam family: tRNA
About the family: Transfer RNA (tRNA) molecules are approximately 80 nucleotides in length. Their secondary structure includes four short double-helical elements and three loops (D, anti-codon, and T loops).
Source: RNAcentral
GGGGAUAUAGCUCAAUUGGUAGAGCACCAGCUUUGCAAGCUGGGGGUUAUCGGUUCGAUUCCGAUUAUCUCCA